UGGGGAAUUUUGGACAAUGGGCGCAAGCCUGAUCCAGCCAUGCCGCGUGCGGGAAGAAGGCCUUCGGGUUGUAAACCGCUUUUGUCAGGGAAGAAAUCUUCUGAGUUAAUACCUCGGGGAGGAUGACGGUACCUGAAGAAUAAGCACCGGCUAACUACGUGCCAGCAGCCGCGGUAAUACGUAGGGUGCAAGCGUUAAUCGGAAUUACUGGGCGUAAAGCGUGCGCAGGCGGUUUUGUAAGACAGAGGUGAAAUCCCCGGGCUCAACCUGGGAACUGCCUUUGUGACUGCAAGGCUUGAGUGCGGCAGAGGGGGGCAUGGAAUUCCGCGUGUAGCAGUGAAAUGCGUAGAUAUGCGGAGGAACACCGAUGGC
Molecule: ribosomal RNA, 372 nt
Filed under: uncultured bacterium
Lineage: Bacteria
Description: partial 16S ribosomal RNA
Rfam family: Bacterial small subunit ribosomal RNA
Source: RNAcentral